RNAcentral lists this ribosomal RNA (637 nucleotides) under uncultured bacterium. Its description in RNAcentral is "bacterial SSU rRNA". It matches the Rfam family "Bacterial small subunit ribosomal RNA", at positions 607 to 1244 of the family's 1533-position model. The record is from RNAcentral.
GCUCAACCGAGGAAGUGCUUCGAAAACUGGUAAACUUGAGUGCAGAAGAGGAAAGUGGAACUCCAUGUGUAGCGGUGGAAUGCGUAGAUAUAUGGAAGAACACCAGUGGCGAAGGCGGCUUUCUGGUCUGUAACUGACGCUGAGAUUCGAAAGCAUGGGUAGCAAACAGGAUUAGAUACCCUGGUAGUCCAUGCCGUAAACGAUGAGUGCUAAGUGUUGGAGGGUUUCCGCCCUUCAGUGCUGCAGCUAACGCAUUAAGCACUCCGCCUGGGGAGUACGAUCGCAAGAUUGAAACUCAAAGGAAUUGACGGGGGCCCGCACAAGCGGUGGAGCAUGUGGUUUAAUUCGAAGCAACGCGAAGAACCUUACCAGGUCUUGACAUACCAUGAAAAGCUUAGAGAUAAGUCUUUCCCUUCGGGGACAUGGAUACAGGUGGUGCAUGGUUGUCGUCAGCUCGUGUCGUGAGAUGUUGGGUUAAGUCCCGCAACGAGCGCAACUCUUAUUAUCAGUUGCCAGCAUUCAGUUGGGCACUCUGGUGAGACUGCCGGUGAUAAACCGGAGGAAGGUGGGGACGACGUCAAAUCAUCAUGCCCCUUAUGACCUGGGCUACACACGUGCUACAAUGGUCGGUACAACG